UGGGGAAUAUUGCACAAUGGACGGAAGUUUGAUGCAGCGACGCCGCGUGGAGGGUGUAGGCCUUCGGGUUGUGAACUCCUUUUUCUCGCGAAAAAGGCACAGUUUUGGCUGUGUUGAUGGUAGUGGGGGAAGAAGCGCCGGCUAACUACGUGCCAGCAGCCGCGGUAAUACGUAGGGCGCGAGCGUUGUCCGGAUUUAUUGGGCGUAAAGAGCUCGUAGGUGGUUCGUCGCGUCUGUCGUGAAAGCCAGCAGCUUAACUGUUGGUCUGCGGUGGGUACGGGCGGGCUUGAGUGCGGUAGGGGUGACUGGAAUUCCUGGUGUAGCGGUGGAAUGCGCAGAUAUCAGGAGGAACACCGAUGGCGAAGGCAGGUCACUGGGCCGUUACUGACACUUAGGAGCGAAAGCGUGGGGAGCGAACAGG
This 421-nucleotide ribosomal RNA is filed under the name Fusobacteriota bacterium. RNAcentral describes it as "Fusobacteria bacterium partial 16S ribosomal RNA". It matches the Rfam family "Bacterial small subunit ribosomal RNA", at positions 355 to 776 of the family's 1533-position model. Lineage: Bacteria; Fusobacteriati; Fusobacteriota. The record is from RNAcentral.